RNAcentral lists this long non-coding RNA (1260 nucleotides) under Brassica rapa (field mustard). RNAcentral's name for it is "long non-coding RNA (BRAP_LNC006503)". Lineage: Eukaryota; Viridiplantae; Streptophyta; Magnoliopsida; Brassicales; Brassicaceae. The record is from RNAcentral.
CGGAUCCGGAUCUAAAAAUUAAAAUAUCGGAUUCGGAUUCGAUUUUGACGGAUCCAAGAUUUUACUAUCCAGAUUCGGAUCCGGAAACUUCAGAUAUCAUAUUUUUGGAGCGGAUCCGGAAGAGAUUUCGGAUCGGAUCCGGAUCCCGGAUAAUAAUCCUAGGCCUAGUUAUUGGGUCAACUUGGUUUGUUUUUUAAAGCUUAUAAAGAGGAUAUUUAAGGGAUGAAAAUCGUUAAAUACAUAAGCAUAGAUUUCUCUUAAUUUAUUUUGAUUUCUUUUGUUUUAGAUUUGAACCUUUUGUGAAUCUUUUUUUUUUGUUUAAGAAUUUAUUUUGUUUAUCUUAUUGACAUUUUUUAGUCUUUGAUUAUGUGUCUAUCUAGAAUGAGUUUAGGUGUUUUCAUGAAUAUUAGUGAGUAUAUUUUUUAUAGCUUUUGAGUUCGGUAGAUUAGGAUGAUUGAUGCUUGAUGUAUGUUGUUUGGUGCUUAGUUUAUAUAUAUUCUUACUCGAUUGAUGUUCUUAAUGCUAGUUUAGGUUUGAUUAAUUAAAAAUUUAGAUUUUAAGAUUUCAUGCUCUGAAGGUAUUCGAUGAAAUGCUUAAAAGAAUCUAUCAAUGUACUUUACUUUCUUAGCCAAUGAAAGUUUUUUUAUUGAUUACUUGGACUUGAGAUUCAUGUAUACUUAGUGGUAAUUAACCAAUGAAAAUUGAUAUUACAAGCUUGAUUAGCAUAAGAGAUUAUCAUGCAAAUGGAUUAGCUUAAAUUAGUGAUCUUAGCCCUACGAAUUAGCAAUGGUUAAUAGUUUAAGCAUCAUGGGUUAGUAUGUGACCAUCCUAAUCAAUAACAUUGCAAUAACAUUGAGUCAAGAGCUUUUGUUUCUUGAAUUUUCGUUGGUUUGACUUUUGGUUGAGUUUUAUUCACUUUUUGAUUUUUUUUUUCUUCAUAAUUUAGCUUAAAAAAUUGUUCUAUUUUUUUAGAUCAAGGAAUUUUGUGCAUUUCUAGUGUCAAUAUAUCUCUAAUUCUCUUAGGUUCGAUCCUAAAGUGAUAUAAUAACACAACAUUCGAUUGUAGUAUUGACAUUAACCAUAGAAGAUUCAACGUGUUGUAUAUUCCCUUUGCCCAUUUCGUUAGCUCUCUUUUGAAAAUGCAUCUUGAAAUGUCCUUACUCUUCACUUCUUGUUUCGACCACCUUGAAUUAGGUUUCCUUUUGAAAAGUAGAGUUUUGCACAUCUCUUUGGAGAUUUUAUAUGGAACUCAGAUUCGAG